This is a long non-coding RNA of Sander lucioperca (pikeperch), 246 nucleotides long. RefSeq lists it as uncharacterized. The transcript is spliced from 3 exons. The record is from RefSeq and is a predicted model, not a curated record. NCBI's taxonomy places the organism in Eukaryota, Metazoa, Chordata, Actinopteri, Perciformes, Percidae.
UGCCUACAGUGAUUGGCGGGGAGGGCAGUGGCGCCCAACUAGGCGCCGGGCUACCCCUGGCGUCGCGCAUCGCUCGGAUUUGCCGCUUUGCGCUGCACUCAAAGUUCAAAUUAUUCCAACUUUGACCUAGUUGCCGCUGACCUUUCGAAAGCACAAUAAAUGAGAUAACAGCAUGUCAUUACCUAGCAACGGGAAAUAGCUUCCUUGCCACCCUUGAUAACAUUUACCUGUGCUGCGCUUUGCUCU